GAUGAACGCUGGCGGCGUGCCUAAUACAUGCAAGUCGAGCGAACGGACGAGAAGCUUGCUUCUCUGAUGUUAGCGGCGGACGGGUGAGUAACACGUGGAUAACCAACCUAUAAGACUGGGAUAACUUCGGUAAACCGGAGCUAAUACCGGAUAAUAUUUUGAAUCGCAUGGUUCAAAAGUAAAAGACGGUCUUGCUGUCACUUAUAGAUGGAUCCGUGCUGCAUUAGCUAGUUGGUAAGGUAACGGCUUAACAAGGCAACGAUACAUAGCCGACCUGAGAGGGUGGUAGGCCACACUGGAACUGAACCACGGACCAGACUAAUACCGGAGGCAGCAGUAGGGAAUCUUCCACAAUUGGCGAAAGCAUGACGGGGCAAAGCCGCGUGAGUGAUGAAGGGCUUCAGAUCGUAAAUCUAUGUUAUUAGGGAACAACAUAUGUGUAAGUAACUGUGCACAUCUUGACGGUACCUAAUCAGAAAGCCACGGCUAACUACGUG
Molecule: ribosomal RNA, 497 nt
Filed under: uncultured bacterium
Lineage: Bacteria
Description: partial 16S ribosomal RNA
Rfam family: Bacterial small subunit ribosomal RNA
Source: RNAcentral